Molecule: ribosomal RNA, 484 nt
Filed under: uncultured bacterium
Lineage: Bacteria
Description: partial 16S ribosomal RNA
Rfam family: Bacterial small subunit ribosomal RNA
Source: RNAcentral
AUUGAACGCUGGCGGCAGGCCUAACACAUGCAAGUCGAGCGGAUGAAGGGAGCUUGCUCCUGGAUUCAGCGGCGGACGGGUGAGUAAUGCCUAGGAAUCUGCCUGGUAGUGGGGGAUAACGUCCGGAAACGGGCGCUAAUACCGCAUACGUCCUGAGGGAGAAAGGGGGGGAUCUUCGGACCUCACGCUAUUAGAUGAGCCUAGGUCGGAUUAGCUAGUUGGUGGGGUAAAGGCCUACCAAGGCGACGAUCCGUAACUGGUCUGAGAGGAUGAUCAGUCACACUGGAACUGAGACACGGUCCAGACUCCUACGGGAGGCAGCAGUGGGGAAUAUUGGACAAAGGGCGAAAGCCUGAUCCAGCCAUGCCGCGUGUGUGAAGAAGGUCUUCGGAUUGUAAAGCACUUUAAGUUGGGAGGAAGGGCAGUAAGUUAAUACCUUGCUGUUUUGACGUUACCAACAGAAUAAGCACCGGCUAACUUCGUG